This 263-nucleotide ribosomal RNA is filed under the name uncultured archaeon. RNAcentral describes it as "partial 16S ribosomal RNA". It matches the Rfam family "Archaeal small subunit ribosomal RNA", at positions 717 to 982 of the family's 1478-position model. The record is from RNAcentral.
ACACGACUACAUUAGAUACCCGCGUAGUCCUAGCCGUAAACGAUACUCGCUAGGUGUCGGCCACGGUGCGACCGUUGUCGGUGCCGUAGGGAAGCCGUGAAGCGAGCCACCUGGGAAGUACGGCCGCAAGGCUGAAACUUAAAGGAAUUGGCGGGGAGCACCACAAGAGGUGGAGGCUGCGGUUCAAUUGGACUCAACGCCGGAAACUCAUCGGGAGCGACAGCAGUAUGAUUGCCAGGUUGAUGACCUUGCUUGACAAGCUG